UUCCGGUUGAUCCUGCCGGAGGCUACCGCUAUUGGAGUUCGAUUAAGCCAUGCGAGUCGCGAGUCUUCAAGGACUCGGCGUACCGCUCAGUAACACGUGGGUAACCUGCCCUAUGCUGGGGGAUAACCUCGGGAAACUGAGAAUAAUACCCCAUAGUUCACCACGCCUGGAACGGUGGGUGGAUGAAAGCUCCGGCGGCAUAGGAUGGGCCUGCGGCGUAUCAGGUUGUAGGGGGUGUAAUGUACCCUCUAGCCAUCUACGCGUACGGGUGUUGGGAGACAUCGCCCGGAGAUGGAUUCUGAGACACGAAUCCAGACCCUACGGGGUGCAGCAGGCGCGAAAACUUGGCAAUGCGAGCAAUCGUGACCAGGGAACUCCAAGUGCAUCGGGUAAGACCGAUGCUUUUCUUGACUCUUCAAAGGUCUUGGAAUAAGGGGUGGGUAAGGACGGUGCCAGCCGCCGCGGUAAUACCGGCGCCUCAAGUGGUAGUCGCUUUUAUUGGGCCUAAAACGUCCGUAGCCGGUUUGGUACAUUCGUGGGUAAAUCAAGGCGCUCAACGUCUUGAAUUCUGCGAGCACGGCCAGACUUGGGACCGGGUGAGGUGUGGGGUACUCUCAGGGUAGGGGUAAAAUCCUGUCAUCCUGAGAGGACCACCUGUUGCGAAGGCGCCACACUAGAACGGAUCCGACGGUCAGGGACGAAGCCUAGGGGCACGAACCGGAUUAGAUACCCGGGUAGUCCUAGGUGUAAACGCUGUGGACUUGAUGUUGGGAGUGCUCCGAGCACCCUCAGUGUCGAAGCGAAGGUGAUAAGUCCACUGCCUGGGGAGUACGGUCGCAAGGCUGAAACUUAAAGGAAUUGGCGGGGGAGCACUGCAACCUGAGGAUUGUGCGGUUUAAUUGGAGUCAACGCCGGA
RNAcentral lists this ribosomal RNA (916 nucleotides) under uncultured marine archaeon. RNAcentral's name for it is "bacterial SSU rRNA". It matches the Rfam family "Archaeal small subunit ribosomal RNA", at positions 1 to 922 of the family's 1478-position model. The record is from RNAcentral.